Molecule: ribosomal RNA, 213 nt
Filed under: uncultured bacterium
Lineage: Bacteria
Description: partial 16S ribosomal RNA
Rfam family: Bacterial small subunit ribosomal RNA
Source: RNAcentral
GCCUACCCUCCGCCGCCACUACACGACUACCUACGGUACGGGCAGCAGUCGGGGAAGUAGUUGCGCAAUCGGGGGAAACCCUGACGCAGCGACGCCGCGUGCGGGAUGAAGGCCUUCGGGUGUAAACCGCUUUCACCAGGGACGAAGCGAGAGUGGCCGGGUAACCUGGGGAAGAAGCGCCGGCUAACUACGUGCCAGCAGCCGCGGUAAUUC